Molecule: long non-coding RNA, 615 nt
Organism: Columba livia (rock pigeon)
Lineage: Eukaryota; Metazoa; Chordata; Aves; Columbiformes; Columbidae
Exons: 4
Source: RefSeq, a predicted model, not a curated record
AGACAGAGAUACCAUAUGAACCUCACCUAAUGCAUGUCCUGAACUGAGCUGGAUCACCACGAUCUUGGUUUUGCGUCACAAUCGGCUUCCAGCACUGCCAAGGAAACCAGUUCCAAGGGAAACUGUUGGCUGCAGUACUCGGAUAUGUGGAUGAGCAGGAGAUAAUCAACUUCCCCUCUGCGAACAAAGUCUGAUUGCCUUUUUGCUAUUCAAACACGUAGCAGGAGCAUACCCCUGUCCACAAGAGAAAUGCUAUGUGCCUCAUUCCCAGGAGAAUUCCCAGGUGCUCCAGCUGUCAGCUCACAGAGCUACAGCUUUCUACUCAGACGGGACAUGCCUCUGCUCUGACACGGAGGUCCAAGUUCGGGCUCACACAUGGCAUCUCACAAACACCUGGCAUCUCUGAAUUGCUUUACAGUCCUGCAGGAAGGCAGAUCACAUUUUCCUUUCUCCUAAUUCAUCACAGAAAUUAAAACACAGAGAACAGGGAAAAACUGCAUUAGGACCUUCCUGGUGAACAGGUUUUAGCAGAAGGUCGGCUCCCCCACCUCACCUGCCCACUGGCCCUCAGGAGGGAGACUGCAGGCAGACCUGUUCCAGCAGCUCUACAUCUAG